GUGUACCCGCGGCAAGACGGAAAGACCCCGUGAACCUUUACUAUAGCUUGACACUGAACAUUGAGCCUUGAUGUGUAGGAUAGGUGGGAGGCUUUGAAGUGUGGACGCCAGUCUGCAUGGAGCCGACCUUGAAAUACCACCCUUUAAUGUUUGAUGUUCUAACGUGGACCCGUAAUCCGGGUUGCGGACAGUGUCUGGUGGGUAGUUUGACUGGGGCGGUCUCCUCCUAAAGAGUAACGGAGGAGCACGAAGGUUGGCU
This 259-nucleotide ribosomal RNA is filed under the name Escherichia coli. RNAcentral's name for it is "partial 23S ribosomal RNA". It matches the Rfam family "Bacterial large subunit ribosomal RNA", at positions 2064 to 2322 of the family's 2925-position model. The record is from RNAcentral. Lineage: Bacteria; Pseudomonadati; Pseudomonadota; Gammaproteobacteria; Enterobacterales; Enterobacteriaceae.